Molecule: ribosomal RNA, 1576 nt
Filed under: Lactiplantibacillus plantarum
Lineage: Bacteria; Bacillati; Bacillota; Bacilli; Lactobacillales; Lactobacillaceae
Description: Lactobacillus plantarum 16S ribosomal RNA
Rfam family: Bacterial small subunit ribosomal RNA
Source: RNAcentral
UUAAUUUGAGAGUUUGAUCCUGGCUCAGGACGAACGCUGGCGGCGUGCCUAAUACAUGCAAGUCGAACGAACUCUGGUAUUGAUUGGUGCUUGCAUCAUGAUUUACAUUUGAGUGAGUGGCGAACUGGUGAGUAACACGUGGGAAACCUGCCCAGAAGCGGGGGAUAACACCUGGAAACAGAUGCUAAUACCGCAUAAUAACUUGGACCGCAUGGUCCGAGCUUGAAAGAUGGCUUCGGCUAUCACUUUUGGAUGGUCCCGCGGCGUAUUAGCUAGAUGGUGGGGUAACGGCUCACCAUGGCAAUGAUACGUAGCCGACCUGAGAGGGUAAUCGGCCACAUUGGGACUGAGACACGGCCCAAACUCCUACGGGAGGCAGCAGUAGGGAAUCUUCCACAAUGGACGAAAGUCUGAUGGAGCAACGCCGCGUGAGUGAAGAAGGGUUUCGGCUCGUAAAACUCUGUUGUUAAAGAAGAACAUAUCUGAGAGUAACUGUUCAGGUAUUGACGGUAUUUAACCAGAAAGCCACGGCUAACUACGUGCCAGCAGCCGCGGUAAUACGUAGGUGGCAAGCGUUGUCCGGAUUUAUUGGGCGUAAAGCGAGCGCAGGCGGUUUUUUAAGUCUGAUGUGAAAGCCUUCGGCUCAACCGAAGAAGUGCAUCGGAAACUGGGAAACUUGAGUGCAGAAGAGGACAGUGGAACUCCAUGUGUAGCGGUGAAAUGCGUAGAUAUAUGGAAGAACACCAGUGGCGAAGGCGGCUGUCUGGUCUGUAACUGACGCUGAGGCUCGAAAGUAUGGGUAGCAAACAGGAUUAGAUACCCUGGUAGUCCAUACCGUAAACGAUGAAUGCUAAGUGUUGGAGGGUUUCCGCCCUUCAGUGCUGCAGCUAACGCAUUAAGCAUUCCGCCUGGGGAGUACGGCCGCAAGGCUGAAACUCAAAGGAAUUGACGGGGGCCCGCACAAGCGGUGGAGCAUGUGGUUUAAUUCGAAGCUACGCGAAGAACCUUACCAGGUCUUGACAUACUAUGCAAAUCUAAGAGAUUAGACGUUCCCUUCGGGGACAUGGAUACAGGUGGUGCAUGGUUGUCGUCAGCUCGUGUCGUGAGAUGUUGGGUUAAGUCCCGCAACGAGCGCAACCCUUAUUAUCAGUUGCCAGCAUUAAGUUGGGCACUCUGGUGAGACUGCCGGUGACAAACCGGAGGAAGGUGGGGAUGACGUCAAAUCAUCAUGCCCCUUAUGACCUGGGCUACACACGUGCUACAAUGGAUGGUACAACGAGUUGCGAACUCGCGAGAGUAAGCUAAUCUCUUAAAGCCAUUCUCAGUUCGGAUUGUAGGCUGCAACUCGCCUACAUGAAGUCGGAAUCGCUAGUAAUCGCGGAUCAGCAUGCCGCGGUGAAUACGUUCCCGGGCCUUGUACACACCGCCCGUCACACCAUGAGAGUUUGUAACACCCAAAGUCGGUGGGGUAACCUUUUAGGAACCAGCCGCCUAAGGUGGGACAGAUGAUUAGGGUGAAGUCGUAACAAGGUAGCCGUAGGAGAACCUGCGGCUGGAUCACCUCCUUUCUAAGGAA